RNAcentral lists this microRNA precursor (111 nucleotides) under Digitalis purpurea (common foxglove). Its description in RNAcentral is "miR166a stem-loop (dpr-MIR166a)". Its record names the gene dpr-MIR166a. It matches the Rfam family "mir-166 microRNA precursor family". Rfam says of the family: This family represents the plant microRNA (miRNA) precursor mir-166. Animal miRNAs are transcribed as ~70nt precursors and subsequently processed by the Dicer enzyme to give a ~22nt product. In plants the precursor sequences may be longer, and the carpel factory (caf) enzyme appears to be involved in processing. The record is from miRBase by way of RNAcentral. Lineage: Eukaryota; Viridiplantae; Streptophyta; Magnoliopsida; Lamiales; Plantaginaceae.
UGUGUUUGUGGGGGAUGUUGGCUGGUGCGACGCAACCACGUUUUUGCAGUUAAUUCUGAGAUAGAAAAAAACGUGAUGGCAUCGGACCAGGCUUCAUUCCUCUCAAACCCG